UAUACAAUGUAGAGUUUGAUCCUGGCUCAGGAUGAACGCUAGCUACAGGCUUAACACAUGCAAGUCGUGGGGCAGCGGAUACUUAGCUUGCUAAGUAUGCCGGCGACCGGCGCACGGGUGAGUAACGCGUACCGAACCUGCCCAUCACACAGGGAUAGGCUUGCGAAAGCAAGAUUAAUAUCUGAUGGUCUCAGUUGUAUGCAUGUAUGAUUGAGUAAAGCCUUCGGGCGGUGAUGGAUGGCGGUGCGUCCCAUUAGGAAGUUGGCGGGGUAACGGCCCACCAAUCCUUCGAUGGGUAGGGGUUCUGAGA
This 310-nucleotide ribosomal RNA is filed under the name Alloprevotella tannerae. Its description in RNAcentral is "bacterial SSU rRNA". It matches the Rfam family "Bacterial small subunit ribosomal RNA", at positions 1 to 297 of the family's 1533-position model. Lineage: Bacteria; Pseudomonadati; Bacteroidota; Bacteroidia; Bacteroidales; Prevotellaceae. The record is from RNAcentral.